RNAcentral lists this ribosomal RNA (253 nucleotides) under uncultured bacterium. RNAcentral describes it as "partial 16S ribosomal RNA". It matches the Rfam family "Bacterial small subunit ribosomal RNA", at positions 524 to 776 of the family's 1533-position model. The record is from RNAcentral.
UACGGAGGGUGCAAGCGUUGUCCGGAUUUAUUGGGUUUAAAGGGUGCGUAGGUGGCCUUAUAAGUCAGUGGUGAAAGCCUACAGCUUAACUGUAGGACUGCCAUUGAUACUGCAAGGCUUGAGUACUGAUGAGGUAGGCGGAAUUGAUAGUGUAGCGGUGAAAUGCAUAGAUAUUAUCAAGAACACCGAUUGCGAAGGCAGCUUACUAAGGAGUUACUGACACUGAGGCACGAAAGCGUGGGGAUCAAACAGG